GGAUGCGCCAUACAUAUCCAACUCAUGUGCCAUUGGCUGAAAAUUUUUGGGGACCGCUUCCGAUCCAACGCGCAGCCAUGUUUAUCUGUAACUUAUUGUUUGUCAUUCAAUUCGAGUAAAACUAUGACCAUGUACCACAUUGAGAAAUAAAAAUAUGUUAAAAUAAAUCUAUUAUUUAAUUGUUUUA
Long non-coding RNA from Polistes dominula (European paper wasp), 187 nucleotides. The record is from RefSeq and is a predicted model, not a curated record. Lineage: Eukaryota; Metazoa; Arthropoda; Insecta; Hymenoptera; Vespidae.